ACGCUCGACACCUAUGGGAGGCAGCAGUGGGGAAUAUUGCACAAUGGGGGAAACCCUGAUGCAGCGAUGCCGCGUGAAGGAAGAAGUAUCUCGGUAUGUAAACUUCUAUCAGCAGGGAAGAAAUGACGGUACCUGACUAAGAACGCCCCGGCUAACUACGUGCCAACAGCCGCGGUAAUCUGAGCGGGCUGGCAAGGC
RNAcentral lists this ribosomal RNA (198 nucleotides) under uncultured bacterium. RNAcentral describes it as "partial 16S ribosomal RNA". It matches the Rfam family "Bacterial small subunit ribosomal RNA", at positions 328 to 539 of the family's 1533-position model. The record is from RNAcentral.